UCUUUUGUCCCUCAUGGGACAAUACUGAAAGACGGUUUCGGCUGUCGCUAUAGGAUGGGCCCGCGGCGCAUUAGCUAGUUGGUGAGGUAACGGCUCACCAAGGCAACGAUGCGUAGCCGACCUGAGAGGGUGAUCGGCCACACUGGGACUGAGACACGGCCCAGACUCCUACGGGAGGCAGCAGUAGGGAAUCUUCCACAAUGGGCGAAAGCCUGAUGGAGCAACGCCGCGUGAGUGAAGAAGGAUUUCGGUUCGUAAAACUCUGUUGUAAGGGAAGAACAAGUACAGUAGUAACUGGCUGUACCUUGACGGUACCUUAUUAGAAAGCCACGGCUAACUACGUGCCAGCAGCCGCGGUAAUACGUAGGUGGCAAGCGUUGUCCGGAAUUAUUGGGCGUAAAGCGCGCGCAGGUGGUUUCUUAAGUCUGAUGUGAAAGCCCACGGCUCAACCGUGGAGGGUCAUUGGAAACUGGGAGACUUGAGUGCAGAAGAGGAUAGUGGAAUUCCAAGUGUAGCGGUGAAAUGCGUAGAGAUUUGGAGGAACACCAGUGGCGAAGGCGACUAUCUGGUCUGUAACUGACACU
Molecule: ribosomal RNA, 584 nt
Filed under: Lysinibacillus sphaericus
Lineage: Bacteria; Bacillati; Bacillota; Bacilli; Caryophanales; Bacillaceae
Description: bacterial SSU rRNA
Rfam family: Bacterial small subunit ribosomal RNA
Source: RNAcentral